UACAGAGGCCACGAGCGUUAGGCGGAAUCACUGGGCUUAAAGCGUGUGUAGGUGGAUGGCUAAGUACCUUGUGAAAUCCGACGGCUCAACCGUGGAACUGCUCGGUAUACUGGUCGUCUUGAGGCACUCAGGGGCGAGCGGAACAGAUGGUGGAGCGGUGAAAUGCGUAGAUAUCAUCUGGAACGCCAAUGGUGAAGACAGCUCGCUGGGGGUGUACUGACACUGAGACACGAAAGCCAGGGGAGCGAACGGG
This 253-nucleotide ribosomal RNA is filed under the name uncultured bacterium. RNAcentral describes it as "partial 16S ribosomal RNA". It matches the Rfam family "Bacterial small subunit ribosomal RNA", at positions 524 to 776 of the family's 1533-position model. The record is from RNAcentral.